RNAcentral lists this ribosomal RNA (42 nucleotides) under Anisomeles indica. RNAcentral describes it as "partial 18S ribosomal RNA". Lineage: Eukaryota; Viridiplantae; Streptophyta; Magnoliopsida; Lamiales; Lamiaceae. The record is from RNAcentral.
AGUCGUAACAAAGUCCCUAGGUGAACCUGCAGAAGGCUCAUU